CCUACGGGGGGCAGCAGUCGAGAAUCAUUCACAAUGGGGGAAACCCUGAUGGGGCGACGCCGCGUGGGGGAAUGAAGGUCUUCGGAUUGUAAACCCCUGUCAUGUGGGAGCAAAUUAAAAAGAUAGUACCACAAGAGGAAGAGACGGCUAACUCUGUGCCAGCAGCCGCGGUAAUACAGAGGUCUCAAGCGUUGUUCGGAAUCACUGGGCGUAAAGCGUGCGUAGGCUGUUUCGUAAGUCGUGUGUGAAAGGCGCGGGCUCAACCCGCGGACGGCACAUGAUACUGCGAGACUAGAGUAAUGGAGGGGGAACCGGAAUUCUCGGUGUAGCAGUGAAAUGCGUAGAUAUCGAGAGGAACACUCGUGGCGAAGGCGGGUUCCUGGACAUUAACUGACGCUGAGGCACGAAGGCCAGGGGAGCGAAAAGGAUUAGAUACCCGGGUAGUC
This 446-nucleotide ribosomal RNA is filed under the name uncultured bacterium. Its description in RNAcentral is "partial 16S ribosomal RNA". It matches the Rfam family "Bacterial small subunit ribosomal RNA", at positions 338 to 795 of the family's 1533-position model. The record is from RNAcentral.